UACGUAGGGACCAAGCGUUGUUCGGAUUUACUGGGCGUAAAGGGCGCGUAGGCGGCAAUUCAAGUCAUCUGUGAAAUCUCCGGGCUUAACCCGGAACGGUCAGAUGAUACUGCUUUGCUAGAGUGCGGAAGGGGCAAUCGGAAUUCUUGGUGUAGUGGUGAAAUGCGUAGAUAUCGGGAGGAACACCAGUGGCGAAGGCGGCUCUCUGGGCAGAUACUGACGCUGAGACGCGAAAGCAUGGGGAGCAAACAGG
This 253-nucleotide ribosomal RNA is filed under the name uncultured bacterium. RNAcentral describes it as "partial 16S ribosomal RNA". It matches the Rfam family "Bacterial small subunit ribosomal RNA", at positions 524 to 776 of the family's 1533-position model. The record is from RNAcentral.